UACGUAGGGUGCAAGCGUUAAUCGGAAUUACUGGGCGUAAAGCGUGCGCAGGCGGUUUUGUAAGUCUGUCGUGAAAUCCCCGGGCUCAACCUGGGAAUUGCGAUGGAGACUGCAAGGCUAGAAUCUGGCAGAGGGGGGUAGAAUUCCACGUGUAGCAGUGAAAUGCGUAGAGAUGUGGAGGAACACCGAUGGCGAAGGCAGCCCCCUGGGUCAAGAUUGACGCUCAUGCACGAAAGCGUGGGGAGCAAACAGGAUUAGAAACCCCAGUAGUCC
RNAcentral lists this ribosomal RNA (273 nucleotides) under uncultured bacterium. RNAcentral's name for it is "partial 16S ribosomal RNA". It matches the Rfam family "Bacterial small subunit ribosomal RNA", at positions 524 to 796 of the family's 1533-position model. The record is from RNAcentral.